Molecule: ribosomal RNA, 262 nt
Filed under: uncultured bacterium
Lineage: Bacteria
Description: partial 16S ribosomal RNA
Rfam family: Bacterial small subunit ribosomal RNA
Source: RNAcentral
GUCCACGCCCUAAACGAUGGGUACUAAGUGUCGGCGGGUUACCGCCGGUGCCGCACCUAACGGAGUAAGUACCCCGCCUGGGGAGUACGGCCGCAAGGUUGAAACUCAAAGGAAUUGACGGGGGCCGCACAAGCGGUGGUGCAUGUGGUUUAAUUCGACGCAACGCGAAAACCUUAACCCAGGCUUGACAUGCUAGUGGUAAGAACCGGAAACGGGGAUGACCCUGAAAGGGGAGCUAGCACAGGUGCUGCAUGGCUGUCGU